Long non-coding RNA from Oryzias melastigma (Indian medaka), 400 nucleotides. RefSeq lists it as uncharacterized. The transcript has 3 exons. The record is from RefSeq and is a predicted model, not a curated record. NCBI's taxonomy places the organism in Eukaryota, Metazoa, Chordata, Actinopteri, Beloniformes, Adrianichthyidae.
AUUGCUCUUUUCUUGGCUUGUUUUGUGUGUUUUACUUUCUCUUUUCUAUAUUUUCCUAUAAAUGUCUUUUUCACUAUAGUAGCCACUAUAGUAGCCAAUUUCUAAUUUAAAGGAGUAAUCUGUAUUUUUCUACAGAUUCAGAGAAGUUCCUUUCUGUAAGUCAAAAGAACAAAAAGAUGCAGAAACACGGACUGACCGCUCGACCUCUGGAGGCAGCAAAGAGCGUCCGAGUGGAGAAUCUUCCUCCAUCUUUGGCCAUCGACACACUGGACCUUUGGUUUGAGAAGGAGUGGGCUCCUCCAAAUAACAUCAUCAUGAUCCCAGAAGAGCAAGCUGCUAUUGUGACCUUCAGUGACCCCAAAGUUGUGGAAAGUAUUUGCUCAACAGUAGACCACAUGAU